RNAcentral lists this non-coding RNA (117 nucleotides) under Pan troglodytes (chimpanzee). The record is from Rfam by way of RNAcentral. Lineage: Eukaryota; Metazoa; Chordata; Mammalia; Primates; Hominidae.
GCCAGGCGCGGUGGCUCACGCCUGUAAUCCCAGCACUUUGGGAGGCUGAGGUGGGCGGAUCACCUGAGGUCAGGAGUUCGAGACCAGCCUGACCAACAUGGUGAAACUCCACCUUUA